This 318-nucleotide unclassified non-coding RNA is filed under the name uncultured fungus. Its description in RNAcentral is "partial contains 5.8S ribosomal RNA and internal transcribed spacer 2". The stretch from base 1 to 133 matches the Rfam family "5.8S ribosomal RNA", at positions 22 to 154 of the family's 154-position model. Lineage: Eukaryota; Fungi. The record is from RNAcentral.
UGGUUCUGGCAUCGAUGAAGAACGCAGCGAAAUGCGAUAAGUAGUGUGAAUUGCAGAAUUCAGUGAAUCAUCGAAUCUUUGAACGCACAUUGCGCCCUUCGGUAUUCCGUUGGGCAUGCCUGUUCGAGCGUCAUUUUAACCUUCAAGCAUAGCUUGGUGUUGGGUGCUUGUCCCCCUAGCGGUGGACUCACCUCAAAUGCAUUGGCGGCCGGUAUGUUGGCUUCGAGCGCAGUACAACGCGCCUGGUGUCUAGACGUGCUGGUCCUCCACAAGACCUUCUUUAAUCUUGACCUCGGAUCAGGUAGGGAUACCCGCUGA